UACGAAGGGGGCUAGCGUUGCUCGGAAUUACUGGGCGUAAAGCGCACGUAGGCGGCUUUCUAAGUCGGAGGUGAAAUCCUGGAGCUCAACUCCAGAACUGCCUUCGAUACUGGAGAGCUUGAGUCCGGGAGAGGUGAGUUGGAACUGCGAGUGUAGAGGUGAAAUUCGUAGAUAUUCGCAAGAACACCAGUGGCGAAGGCGGCUCACUGGCCCGGUACUGACGCUGAGGUGCGAAAGCGUGGGGAGCAAACAGGG
This 255-nucleotide ribosomal RNA is filed under the name uncultured bacterium. RNAcentral's name for it is "partial 16S ribosomal RNA". It matches the Rfam family "Bacterial small subunit ribosomal RNA", at positions 524 to 777 of the family's 1533-position model. The record is from RNAcentral.